Molecule: long non-coding RNA, 1350 nt
Filed under: Bemisia tabaci
Lineage: Eukaryota; Metazoa; Arthropoda; Insecta; Hemiptera; Aleyrodidae
Description: lncRNA ENSSSA2NGG014371
Source: RNAcentral
UGCAGAUGAGGAGUGUCACAGCCUCUAAUUGCUGCCUCCGAAUUUCCGAUUCGUAUCGAAUGCUAUAAAAGAUAUUUCUAUUUUGAGAUUUGCUCAGUGAUCUCCAAAAUUCCUAGCUUCACGAUGAUAGGGCACCUGGUAUUGGUGGCCUUUUUGGCGAGUACCGCCAAUGCCGACGUAUUCCCUUUUGCUUUUGCAACUGAGCUGCUUGCACCCCCACCUCUACCUGCUCCGUACCCUGCGGCUCCAGCCCCUUAUGCGACCGAGAUACUCGCUCCGUACCCAGCAGCUCCCGCUCCUUACCAAGCUGAAGUAAUACCCGCCCCACCGCCUCCGCCCGUGGUCGAAUAUGGGCCACCACCUCCACCACCGCCACCUCCUCCACCGCCGCCACCACCACCACCGCCACCACCAGUGGCGUACGGACCCCCAGCUCCGUACCAAGCUGAGGUGGUUGUGGCCGCUCCUCCGCCGCCACCACCACCAGCGGUCGAAUAUGGACCACCACCACCAGCGGUCGAAUAUGGACCACCACCACCUCCACCAGUAGUCGAGUACGGACCACCACCGCCGCCGCCACCACCUCCACCACCACCACCCCCGCCACCGCCGCCACCACCAGUUGCCUACGGACCCCCAGCUCCGUACCAACCUGAAGUGGUUGUGCUCGCUCCGCCACCACCACCACCACCAGCGAUCGAAUAUGGACCACCACCACCCCACCAGUAGUUGAGUACGGGCCACCGCCACCGCCACCACCGCCACCACCACCUCCACCACCACCCCCGCCGCCGCCUCCACCACCAGUAGCCUACGGACCCCCAGCUCCGUACCAAGCUGAGGUGGUUGUGCUCGCUCCUCCUCCUCCACCGCCAGCUCCAUAUCCAGCUGCGCCAGUUGUCCUUGCUCCCCCACCUCCACCCCCGGUAGCUUAUGGCCCCCCGGCCGCAUAUCCUCAAGAAGGUCAUUUUUUCUGAUGUAAAUAUAUUGUUAGGAAUGUUUAAUAAAUUAUUUGUUUUGUGCUAAUGAUGUUAUUCGUCUUGAUGUGUUUUAAAGGCUAGAUUUUGUGAGGUAUGCAAAAGACUGUUCGAGUUGCUAACUUUUCAAUGAAGUCUGAGAUAGAGGGAAGCUGUUGGAAAGGAACCAGCAAUCACGCAAAUUCUAAAUAAUGAUACAAAUUCAGCGUCGAUUUUUCCCAUUGUAGAGACAACAAUUAGAACUGGAAAGGGAGCUGCAGCGGGGAAAGGGAGUCGGGGAUUAAACAAGAAUAGUUUAAACGUUGUAAAAAUACUAUAAAUACAAAUUAACAGAAAUGUGAAUACCAAUAAAAUAAAUAUAGUAUUCAUUUUA